ACCCUGCUCCUCUCCCUCCAG
Molecule: microRNA, 21 nt
Filed under: Mus musculus (house mouse)
Lineage: Eukaryota; Metazoa; Chordata; Mammalia; Rodentia; Muridae
Description: mmu-miR-7017-3p
Source: miRBase by way of RNAcentral